UACGUAGGGUCCGAGCGUUGUCCGGAAUUAUUGGGCGUAAAGGGCUCGUAGGCGGUCCGUCACGUCGGGAGUGAAAACUCAGGGCUCAACCCUGAGCGUGCUUCCGAUACGGGCGGACUAGAGGUAUGCAGGGGAGAACGGAAUUCCUGGUGUAGCGGUGAAAUGCGCAGAUAUCAGGAGGAACACCGGUGGCGAAGGCGGUUCUCUGGGCAUUACCUGACGCUGAGGAGCGAAAGUGUGGGGAGCGAACAGG
RNAcentral lists this ribosomal RNA (253 nucleotides) under uncultured bacterium. RNAcentral describes it as "partial 16S ribosomal RNA". It matches the Rfam family "Bacterial small subunit ribosomal RNA", at positions 524 to 776 of the family's 1533-position model. The record is from RNAcentral.